UCGGGCAGAGGGAUCUCCUUGCCAACAAGCCAGAAGCAUGUAAAAGAAAAUCAAACCAAUUGGGGUCGUCCUUUUAGCCGAUCUUUUUCAUGCCCACUACUUCUUCCAAACGGAACCCUUUGCCAAGGAAAAAACUGGGGCAACUUUGUGAGUCUCAAAUUUUUCAACCCAUGACCCAAUAUUGGGGCAGCUUUGUGAGUUUCAUACAACCCAUGACCCAAGACUGGGGCAGCUUUGUGAGUCUCGUACAAAUUUUUCAUCAACCCGUGAUACGAAGACUGGGGCAGAUUUGCAAGUCUCAUUUGAUUUGUUCACCCUUAUUUUCAUGGAUCCAUACCCCUAUGCUCAUUUUCCCAAACACUAAACCAAGGCAAAAUUUUUUGGUAUAUCUUGUUUCAUCUUAGCACUAACAUAUUACAUCUCCUUUGAGGAUUGUAGUACCCAUGUGCCGGUCCCAG
This 458-nucleotide long non-coding RNA is filed under the name Vigna radiata. RNAcentral's name for it is "long non-coding RNA (VRAD_LNC015059)". The record is from RNAcentral. Lineage: Eukaryota; Viridiplantae; Streptophyta; Magnoliopsida; Fabales; Fabaceae.